GUAAUACGUGAGUAACCUGCCCUUGACUCUCGGAUAAGCCUGGCAAACUGGGUCUAAUACUGGAUACCACGGCCCAUCGCACGGAUGUGUUGUGCAAAGGGUUUUACUGGUUUUGGAUGGGCUCACGGCCUAUCACCUUGUUGGUGGGGUAAUGGCUCACCAAGGCUACUACCGGUAGCCAGCCUGAGAGGUGACCGGCCACACUGGGACUGAUACCGGCCCUACUCCUACGGGAGGCAGCAGUGGGGAAUAUUGCACAAUGGGCGGAAGCCUGAUGCAGCGACACCGCGUGAGGGAUGACGGCCUUCAGGUUGUAAACCUCUUUCAGCACGGAAGAAACGAGAGUGACGGUACGUGCAUAAGAAGCGCCGGCUAACUACAUGCCACCAGCCGCGGUAAUACCUAUGGCGCACGCGUUGUCCGGAAUUAUUGGGCGUAAAGAGCUCGUAGGCGGUUUGUCGCGUCUGCUG
RNAcentral lists this ribosomal RNA (470 nucleotides) under bacterium Urfcr46. RNAcentral's name for it is "bacterial SSU rRNA". It matches the Rfam family "Bacterial small subunit ribosomal RNA", at positions 110 to 594 of the family's 1533-position model. The record is from RNAcentral.